This 500-nucleotide ribosomal RNA is filed under the name uncultured bacterium. RNAcentral's name for it is "partial 16S ribosomal RNA". It matches the Rfam family "Bacterial small subunit ribosomal RNA", at positions 30 to 523 of the family's 1533-position model. The record is from RNAcentral.
AUUGAACGCUGGCGGAAUGCUUUACACAUGCAAGUCGAACGGCAGCACGGACUUCGGUCUGGUGGCGAGUGGCGAACGGGUGAGUAAUGUAUCGGAACGUGCCCAGUCGUGGGGGAUAACGUAGUGAAAAUUACGCUAAUACCGCAUACGAUCUAUGGAUGAAAGCGGGGGAUCGCAAGACCUCGCGCGAUUGGAGCGGCCGAUAUCAGAUUAGGUAGUUGGUGGGGUAAAGGCCCACCAAGCCAACGAUCUGUAGCUGGUCUGAGAGGACGACCAGCCACACUGGAACUGAGACACGGUCCAGACUCCUACGGGAGGCAGCAGUGGGGAAUUUUGGACGAUGGGCGAAAGCCUGAUCCAGCCAUUCCGCGUGCAGGAUGAAGGCCCUCGGGUUGUAAACUGCUUUUGUACAGAACGAAAAGGUUUCUACUAAUACUAGGAGCUCAUGACAGUACUGUAAGAAUAAGCACCGGCUAACUACGUGCCAGCAGCCGCGGUAA